GAUGAACGCUAGCGGCAGGCUUAACACAUGCAAGUCGAGGGGUAACAGGGUGCUUGCACCGCUGACGACCGGCGCACGGGUGCGUAACGCGUAUACAAUCUACCUUUUACAGGGGGAUAGCCUUUAGAAAUGAAGAUUAAUAUCCUAUAGUAAGUUUUUAUGGCAUCAUAUGAACUUUAAAGUUUCGGCGGUAAAAGAUGAGUAUGCGUUCUAUUAGCUAGAUGGUGUGGUAACGGCACACCAUGGCAACGAUAGAUAGGGGCCCUGAGAGGGGGAUCCCCCACACUGGUACUGAGACACGGACCAGACUCCUACGGGAGGCAGCAGUGAGGAAUAUUGGACAAUGGGCGAGAGCCUGAUCCAGCCAUGCCGCGUGCAGGAAGACUGCCCUAUGGGUUGUAAACUGCUUUUAAACGGGAAGAAACCCUCGCUCGUGAGCGAGGCUGACGGUACCGUAAGAAU
RNAcentral lists this ribosomal RNA (462 nucleotides) under Winogradskyella sp. R-39121. RNAcentral's name for it is "bacterial SSU rRNA". It matches the Rfam family "Bacterial small subunit ribosomal RNA", at positions 28 to 487 of the family's 1533-position model. The record is from RNAcentral. Lineage: Bacteria; Pseudomonadati; Bacteroidota; Flavobacteriia; Flavobacteriales; Flavobacteriaceae.